This 123-nucleotide small RNA is filed under the name human gut metagenome. RNAcentral's name for it is "ydaO/yuaA leader". It matches the Rfam family "c-di-AMP riboswitch aptamer (ydaO/yuaA leader)". From Rfam's summary of the family: This family represents a conserved RNA structure found upstream of the ydaO and yuaA genes in Bacillus subtilis and related genes in other bacteria. The ydaO/yuaA element is thought to act as a genetic "off" switch for the ydaO and yuaA genes in its native state. The record is from RNAcentral.
UAUAAAUCGCUGAAUUCUUUAUAUAGAGAAGCGGAGGAACCAUUUAACUGGGGUGAAUUCUUUAAGAACGGGCAAAUCCCUUAGCCCGAACCCGUCAGCUAACUUCGUAAGCGUGGAAGGGGG